This 235-nucleotide ribosomal RNA is filed under the name uncultured archaeon. RNAcentral's name for it is "partial 16S ribosomal RNA". It matches the Rfam family "Archaeal small subunit ribosomal RNA", at positions 345 to 580 of the family's 1478-position model. The record is from RNAcentral.
AACCUUUACAAUGCACGCAAGUGCGAUAAGGGGACCCCGAGUGUUGGUGCCUAGCAUCAACUGUCUAACUGCCUAAAAAACAGUUAUUAGCAAGAGCCGGGUAAGACCGGUGCCAGCCGCCGCGGUAACACCGGCGGCUCGAGUGGUGACCGUUAUUAUUGGGUCUAAAGGGUCCGUAGCCGGCCUAAUAAGUUCUUUGGGAAAUCUGGCGGCUUAACCGUCAGGCUGCUGAGGG